Molecule: unclassified non-coding RNA, 445 nt
Filed under: Hevea brasiliensis (rubber tree)
Lineage: Eukaryota; Viridiplantae; Streptophyta; Magnoliopsida; Malpighiales; Euphorbiaceae
Source: RNAcentral
GCACCAUCGGGCAUUGCCCUCCAAGUAAUCUUUUGCCAAUCAAUUCCUAAAUCCUAACAAACCAGAGACAAGGAAACUAAAGAUUAUAUCUCGAGUUAAAACAUAUGCAACCUUAGAAUAUAUUGCCAGUGUCUAGGGCAAAGCUUUUCAGUAUAUUUCAAUUUUCAAACAUUACACAAUCGACUUUGGAUACGAAAGCAGGAGGGCUAAUGCAAGAUAAUUCAUAACCAGCAGAGUGAAGAAGGCCAUGAGGGGGUAAACUGAUGAAACCAAUUGCUCAUGAAAUGUUCCAUCAUGAACUUCUGCCAUACCAUAAUCUCAAAUAGAUGAAGAUGACAAUAUUUGCUAACAUUACACCAUAAGCUCCCUCUUUCCCAAAGUAACAUCUAUUGCGUCCUCAUCCUGCUAUUCUCUGCAGCCCUCACUUGCAAGAAAUAAGGAUGGG